RNAcentral lists this ribosomal RNA (462 nucleotides) under uncultured bacterium. Its description in RNAcentral is "bacterial SSU rRNA". It matches the Rfam family "Bacterial small subunit ribosomal RNA", at positions 28 to 507 of the family's 1533-position model. The record is from RNAcentral.
GAUAAACGCUGGCGGCGUGCAUGAGACAUGCAAGUCGAACGAACGACCCCGGGCUUGCCCGGGGAAGUUAGUGGCGAACGGCUGAGUAACGCGUGGGUGACCUGCCCAGAAGUGGGGAAUAACUGCCCGAAAGGGUGGCUAAUACCGCAUGUGGUCAUGAGUUCGAUCUGAUGACCAAAGCCUUCGGGCGCUUCUGGAGGGGCCUGCGUUCGAUUAGCUCGUUGGUGAGGUAACGGCUCACCAAGGCGACGAUCGAUAGGUGGUCUGAGAGGAUGAUCACCCAGACUGGGACUGAGACACGGCCCAGACUCCUACGGGAGGCAGCAGUCGGGAAUUUUGCCCAAUGGGGGAAACCCUGAGGCAGCAACGCCGCGUGAGGGAUGAAGGCCUUCGGGUUGUAAACCUCUUUUCUCAGGGACGAUAAUGACGGUACCUGAGGAAUAAGCCACGGCUAACUUCGUG